This 2246-nucleotide long non-coding RNA is filed under the name Lactuca sativa (garden lettuce). Its description in RNAcentral is "long non-coding RNA (LSAT_LNC004722)". Lineage: Eukaryota; Viridiplantae; Streptophyta; Magnoliopsida; Asterales; Asteraceae. The record is from RNAcentral.
AAUUUAGUAUGUUUUUAAAGGAACUAGCUCUUUUUUUCCAGUCAAAUCCAAUUUAUGUACCGAAUACUUUUGGUAAGAACAGUCAACAAAAGCUAAUUAACUAGCUAUGUUUUUUUUUUUUUCCAUUAUCAUGUGAUAUGUAAAUUAAAACAUCUACAUUGUGAAUUUAAUUAAAGUCUUUAACCGCCCUUUGGAAUUUAGAGACCUUAUAAUGAUGUUGAGUCCUAAAUAAAGAAUGAUAACCCCACUUUUGAUUUAACAAAAAACCUUAUAUUUCAAACGUGCAAAAAGUUUAAGAUAAAAAUGUAGCUGUAUAUGAUUAUCAUCAAAAAGUUUAAGAUUCUCAAACAUCUCAUCUCAUAUGGAAAUAAAUAAUCCAGAUAAUCAGAUCUAAUACCCAUCAUCAUCAUCAUCAUCAUCAUCAUCUGAAUCUGAUACAUACAAUAUUGAUGGUGGGUCAUUAUUCCUUAAAGGAAAAGAUAUUUUUUUCCCUCGCAAGGGGUCCCCAUGUCUAACAAUUGAAGGCAUUCGAGACACCAAACAACAUCAAAUACAAAGAAGCAUCAUUGAAGUCCACUAGGCUUGAACAAUCUCCCCUCACCCGAAUGCAAUUAUAAUCAGAAAUCACAGCUAAAGAACCUUGGAUGGGUGUUGCUGUCAAACAGUGUUUUGGCAAUGCAAUUCUGCCAAAAACAUGAGUGCUCAAAUCGAAUGUCAAUACAUAACAUCUCCCUCUGACAUUAGAUACCACCUAGCAAUGUAACGCUCCAUUGACCAAACAUGAUUUUGAUAUCAAUUGUAAAGAUUUCACAAAUCAACUCGUCACAUAGAUGAGCUGACAUCAUGUGGUUGUGCUUUUUUCUAAGGCCAGGCAUAACUGCAAUACAAGUAAAAUAGAUUUAAAAAUAAACCACAUAAAGUUCUAAUGAAUACAAGAAGUAAAUCAAAUGGGUUGGUUCCAUCUUUUCAGGCAUUGUAUCAAACGCUUGAUGUGCAAAUAAAUAUUAAAACCAGGAAGAUGUUGAAAAGAUAAAUCAUAUAUGCUCAUAAACUAAUAUGGAGUUAUUCUGCUCAAUCCCAUAACCUGUGAAAAAGAAAUCCUAAUGGUUAUUGAUUUAAGAAACCAUCUUGUAACAUGGGUCAUUAAACUCAUAGACGCCUUCCCAUGUUUGUUUGCAAUGUUAUCUCACCAAACAGCUGUGUAUAUCAGUCACAGUAAACUGGGUUAAAAUACAUCAACGACUUCUAAUCUCGUUCUUUCUAAACAAGCUAAUCUGGCUCAAAAAAAUUGAUGGUUUCGACUUUAAAUGACAACAAAAACAUUCAUACCUUCAUCACAUGUCUAUUAAGAUGGUUAUUCGAAUGAUGUGCUAAAGAACCUAGAUAAAUAUUGUCCAAAUAUGAUCCCCUUUUCACCUAAUCUCCUUACAAUUUCCUCACUGCUAACUUUCGUUCGGAUUCUACCUUUACAAGGCCCCACUCAUCCUAUUCUUUGUAUUUGUAUCGCAAUAUCACGUAUUACUGCAAACUAUCCAAAAGCUAAAUAAAUUCACGGAAUAUUAUAAACACAUCCCGCUUUGAAACCUAAUGAAUUUCACCUCCCGGGGAAGAUGAACAGAACACAUCCUAAAACCUAAUAAUCAUCGCAUAUAAGUAACAAAAUUUACCAGAGAAUAUCAACAGAAAUCUCGUAAGAAUAACGAAAUCGCUUACCGGUAGAUGAACAAAACGGCAGACGACUGACGACGCGGUUGUCGGGCUGGUCGCUAGAAAAAUAGAUGGCCGAAAGGAGGAGUAGCUAGCCUUGUCUUCCAUUUGAAAACAUAAACGUGUAGGGGUGUGUGGAUGUGUGUUUUAAAACUGAAUAUUGAUUUAGGUUUUACUGGAGCUAAUUUCAAUGGCAAGAUAACUCAGAAAACAAAUAAAUUCUCCAAACACUUCUCCUUUCGAAAUCGCCAUUGGGUGUCCACUUCCCUUCGGGUCGGGUUACUUGUCCAGGUCAUUAAAAAUAUAAGUCAGAUUUUGACAACAUGGAAGGAAACUAUACCGGUGUUAUAUAAUCACAUACCAAUGUAUGGACAUGAUGGCAAUUGGCCUUGUGGAUGUAAUGUCUAGAACCCUUCACGUGAUAAUUACUUAAUGUGUCUUAAAGUGACCUAAAACGUAGGAGGGAUUGGGGAUGUAGUCUGGUGAAGAUUUUAACAAUCAACUCAUCGCAUAGAUGAUGAUAUGGCACCGUGUAAUUC